This 524-nucleotide ribosomal RNA is filed under the name uncultured Actinomycetes bacterium. Its description in RNAcentral is "bacterial SSU rRNA". It matches the Rfam family "Bacterial small subunit ribosomal RNA", at positions 363 to 896 of the family's 1533-position model. The record is from RNAcentral. Lineage: Bacteria; Bacillati; Actinomycetota; Actinomycetes.
CUUGCGCCAAUGCGCGAAAGCGUGACGCAGCGACGCCGCGUGGGGGAUGAAGGCCCUCGGGUUGUAAACCCCUUUCGCCAGGGACGAAGCGAGAGUGACGGUACCUGGAGAAGAAGCCCCGGCUAACUACGUGCCAGCAGCCGCGGUAACACGUAGGGGACGAGCGUUGUCCGGAUUCAUUGGGCGUAAAGCGCGCGUAGGCGGUCGUGCAAGUCGGUUGUGAAAUCCCGGGGCUCAACCCCGGGACUGCGUCCGAUACUGUGCGAAUGGAGGCAGGUAGGGGAGAUCGGAAUUCCUGGUGUAGCGGUGAAAUGCGCAGAUAUCAGGAGGAACACCGGUGGCGAAGGCGGAUCUCUGGGCCUUGCCUGACGCUGAGGCGCGGAAGCUAGGGGAGCGAACAGGAUUAGAUACCCUGGUAGUCCUAGCCGUAAACGUUGGGUGCUAGGUGUGGGCGGACAUCGACCCCGUCCGUGCCGAAGCUAACGCAUUAAGCACCCCGCCUGGGGAGUACGGCCGCAAGGCUA